RNAcentral lists this ribosomal RNA (487 nucleotides) under uncultured bacterium. Its description in RNAcentral is "bacterial SSU rRNA". It matches the Rfam family "Bacterial small subunit ribosomal RNA", at positions 19 to 518 of the family's 1533-position model. The record is from RNAcentral.
CUGGCUCAGGAUAAACGCUGGCGGCGCGCAUAACACAUGCAAGUCGAGCGAGAUGAGUGACUUCGGUCAUGAGUCUAGCGGCGGACGGGUGAGUAUAAUAUGAACAACCUGCCUUACAGAGGGGGAUAGCCGGAAGAAAUUUCGAUUAAUACCGCAUAUUCUGGUGUGAUCACAUGAUUGUAUCAGGAAAGUUCGAAAGGACGCUGUAAGAGGGGUUUGUAUCCGAUUAGCUAGUUGGAGUGGUAAAGGCACACCAAGGCGACGAUCGGUAGCUGGUUCGAGAGGAUGUACAGCCACAUUGGGACUGAGAUACGGCCCAGACUCCUACGGGAGGCAGCAGUGGGGAAUAUUGCGCAAUGGAGGAAACUCUGACGCAGCGACGCCGUGUAAAGGAUGAAGGUCUUCGGAUCGUAAACUUAUAUCGAUUAUGAAAAGUGAGGAUGGUAAUAAAGUAAGAAGCCCCGGCUAACUACGUGCCAGCCGCUGC